CCUUCGCUCUCUCCUGCCCAGAACGAGCACGCCUUCGACGAGGUCAUCCAGAGCGCCAACUUCACCUCCCACGAAUUCCGGAUCCGAGUCAAGCUGGAGACGUUCAAUGACGAGUCGCGCCUGAAGGCCACGGCCGUGGAGGUGAAGCCCAUCAACCACAAGGAAUACUGCCAGAGGCUGAUCCUGAACAUCCGCAGGAAUGCCGCCCGGCUCGGCUGAGCCCCACGGAGCAGAGCUGGAGGUCGGGUCCCCUCCCCUCCCCUGUUGCUCUGCGGACUUCCUGGCCAGGCCCCCCUGGGAUGGGGCAACCCAGGCGGCCUUCAGUUCUUCACCUCCGUUAAUGCCACUUUUUUGGGCUGCCCACUGCAGUCUCUUCCCUCCUUUUUUCCCCCCUUUGGUAUUUUUAUGCAGAGAAAAUUUCUGUAUUUUUCCUGACUGAAACAAAUUGGGACGUGAGCUGCAGGUGCCCCCUUUCCUUUCUUAAUAAAGAGUGUUUAAUUUUG
Non-coding RNA from Notechis scutatus (mainland tiger snake), 503 nucleotides. The record is from RefSeq and is a predicted model, not a curated record. Lineage: Eukaryota; Metazoa; Chordata; Lepidosauria; Squamata; Elapidae.